UUUUAUUAACUAAAACUAUGUGGUUCGUAGGUUUUUUUAGAGUUUGUUGGCAAUCGCGUACAUUAUUUUUAUUUUUAAUUAUAAUUAAGUAAACUGCAGCUAAGAAAAUAAUGGUUGGUUUAUAUAAUAUGUACAUCACAUACAUAAUGAGACGCUCUUGGAGUUAUGUAGAAUUAAAUACAAACACAUGAUUUAACUUCCCACAAACUACUCCUUAUAAUGAGAUUUGCUUACGUUUCGGAAUUUAACGAACCUAUUUUAAGUUAAAAUUUGCGUUGUUAAAUAACUAAAAAGAUUAAGAGAAUAUUGUCGACACG
Non-coding RNA from Cinara cedri, 317 nucleotides. Lineage: Eukaryota; Metazoa; Arthropoda; Insecta; Hemiptera; Aphididae. The record is from the annotation of a GenBank genome assembly.